GAAGGAAAUUGAGGCCAAGCUGGAUGCCCUGGUUAAAUCCUUGCCAAGACCCCAGGAUUCUCAUAUUGUCCUGGCUGAUGAGUCCGGCAGCACAGAACACCGGCAGGGCAGUAUUACAGCUGUGCCCAGAGUACCAGCGCCACCUGCACAACCCAGAGCAAAGGACACAAA
This is a long non-coding RNA of Pseudophryne corroboree (corroboree frog), 171 nucleotides long. RefSeq lists it as uncharacterized. The transcript is spliced from 3 exons. The record is from RefSeq and is a predicted model, not a curated record. NCBI's taxonomy places the organism in Eukaryota, Metazoa, Chordata, Amphibia, Anura, Myobatrachidae.